GAUGAACGCUGGCGGCGUGCCUAAUACAUGCAAGUCGAGCGAACGGACGAGAAGCUUGCUUCUCUGAUGUUAGCGGCGGACGGGUGAGUAACACGUGGAUAACCUACCUAUAAGACUGGGAUAACUUCGGGAAACCGGAGCUAAUACCGGAUAAUAUUUUGAACCGCAUGGUUCAAAAGUGAAAGACGGUCUUGCUGUCACUUAUAGAUGGAUCCGCGCUGCAUUAGCUAGUUGUUAAGGUAACGGCUUACCAAGGCAACGAUGCAUAACCGACCUGAGAGGGGGAUCGGCCACAUUGGAACUGAGACACGGUCCAGACUCCUACGGUAGGCAGCAGAAGGGAAUCUUCCGCAAUGGGCGAAAGCCUGACGGAGCAACGCCGCGUGAGUGAUGAAGGUCUUCGGAUCGUAAAACUCUGUUAUUAGGGAAGAACAUAUGUGUAAGUAACUGUGCACAUCUUGACGGUACCUAAUCAGAAAGCCACGGCUAACUACGUG
RNAcentral lists this ribosomal RNA (497 nucleotides) under uncultured bacterium. RNAcentral describes it as "partial 16S ribosomal RNA". It matches the Rfam family "Bacterial small subunit ribosomal RNA", at positions 28 to 507 of the family's 1533-position model. The record is from RNAcentral.